This 6504-nucleotide long non-coding RNA is filed under the name Homo sapiens (human). RNAcentral's name for it is "HSALNT0134546". Lineage: Eukaryota; Metazoa; Chordata; Mammalia; Primates; Hominidae. The record is from RNAcentral.
UCCCAGGCCUUGGCAUGGAGGAGGCGGCCUCUCCUGGCAACUCACCAAUGGGGACUUAUCAUUCAUAUAAACCAUGGGGUCCUGCAGAGGAAGAAACAAGAGCGAAGGACUAAGAAUUCUGGAGCUGAAAGCACCAAGAAUGCAGGGGACCCUUGCCCCAGCCACCUGGGGAGGUGGAAGAGGACACAGAUGGGUGCAGGGCACCGACAUCCUUCCUGGGGUGCUCACCAGGGACUUCUCCUCCUGCCUGAGCCACUGGUAGUCCUCCACCAUCUGCUUCUGCUGUUUGUCCAGGAUUUGCCGCAUUUUGACCUUUUCAGCCUCCCACAGCUGCUGGGCCUCUUCUCGGCUGCUGGGUUGGAUGAAGUCCUCCUCCUGGGAGGACGGCAGAGAGAAGGGAGAGGAUGCAAUGAGCCCUGCUCUCAGACUCAGGGAGGGACAGUCCUCUGAAGAACCUCAUGGCAGCUGCAAGCCUUGGCCUGGCCAGCUGCUUUUUUCUCAUAAGUUUGUUCUUAAACCCAGAGCUAUAUGUGCAGACAGCUAUCCAGUAUCAGCCCCGAGCAUGUAUCUGCGUUGCAAUGUGAUACCAAACCCAAGAACCCACUGCUCAACGUGCGCUGUAUUCAAAUGAUUACACGAUCUGCUCAUGAUAUUUUACCAAGUGACUGCCCUACUAUUAUCUCAGUGUUUGUGAUGGUUGUUGUCAUUUAAUAUAUUUUAAAAAGAAAAGCUAUUAAAGUCUAUUAAAAUCUAUUUUAAAAUCUACUAAAAGCAUCCAAAGGGUUUCCAAGGGGCUGGCUUUGCUUAGUUGGAGAGCAUCACACCCUUCUGAUGCUAUCUCCACCUAAGGACCAAGGUGGCAGGUCUGGAAGCUUCGAGAGACAGGGGUGCUGCCUCUAGCCUCACGGUGUGCAGUCCCACGUGUGUCCAUGAAUGAGCAGAGCCUGAGAGAACAAGCAACAGCAUGCACCCACCAACCAUGCCUUCCUAUUAAGACACAUUCUUUAUUAAGAUAAUAGCUUGGGUUAUUUAACUAAAUGUUAGGAGAAAUGCAUGAGCUAAGAGAUAAAAUAAGGAACAAAAUUUCAUGAAAUACAGCUCUAUAGAGAUAAGAUAAAUGCAAUCAUAGCUUGAGUUAUUUAACCAAUGAUUAGAAGAAAUUCAUGAACUAAUAGAUAAAAUGAAAAACAAAAUUCAAAGAAAUAUAGUUUGAUAGAGAGAAGAUAAAUGCUUCCUCUCCCUAGAUCUAGUAAUCUAACUCUUGCUUUAACUUACCUCUGGGGCUUUGGACCUAUUCAUAAUUUUAGCUGCUAGUUCCUAAACAGAAAGUAUUGCAUGUCUUCCUAUUUUCAUUCAGUCUUCCCCCACGGUUCAUUUGUAUAAAUAUCUGCUCAGUGUCUCUAAACUAUUUUGCUCUUGUUGUGCUGCACAUGGGGACCCUGGCCUCCUGGACAGAUGGAGGAGGAAUAUUAUUGGCAUCCUCUUGAUUGCACAAAGCCCAGGAGUUGCCUUUGCUAGGGCAGGAUUCUUCUGUGACAUCUAAGCUGGCAGGUCCCUCAGUUCCUUGCCUUUGAAGUGGCCAUUUGCAUACAGGUCACUUGCAGAAGAUGCUAACAAUUAUCUCUAUCUACUUUUAGCAAGCAAUAAUUCCUACCAAGCCUCUUAAAAGAGUUUCCUCACUAAGCCCUACAAAACACACUUGAAUAUUACAAUAUGGUCUAAAAGUGGUUAUAUUGGGAUGUUUUACUUAGUGCACACUGAGCUUCAAUUACUAACCUCAAUUUCUAAUCACACGUUUCCCCAUGAGUUAGGUUUCUUGCUGAAAUAUUUAUUCAUUAAUCUAUUCAACAAUUAUUUAUUAAGCAACUACUAUGUGGCAGGGCUGGGUGCUGGGAGGACAGUGAUGUUAAACUAUACGAUGUUCUUAUUCUCGUGGGGUUAAGUAAAUACUAGUCAGACCAAGGCUCCUCAACCUCAGCACUACUGACAUUUGGAGCCAGACAAGUCCUUAUUUCCAGGGCAAUUUCCUGUGCAUUGUACGAUGCUUAGCAGCAUCUCUGGCCUCCCCACAAUAUAUGCCUAUAGCACCACCCCAGUUGUAACAAAAAUGCUGCCAGACAUUGUCAAAUGUCCUCUCAGAGGGAAAAUAACUUAGCUGAGAACCACUGAGCUAGACCUUAUUUUAGGAAAACAAAUUCCAGCAUAUAAGAGUAUUUUAUAAUCAUGGAAUUGAUAAAAAUAAAAUAGGUUUUGUUGAUCAGAGGCUGAUACUCAAAAAUGAGGACAUUUUAAGGCCAUAAAAAUCCCCAGUUAAAUGUCAACACCUGCAGACACAAUGGCAUGGCUGCCCCAGGCUGUUGACAAAUAGUGACAAACAGGAACUAAGUGUCAAAAGUUCUAAAUAUAGAGUUAGGGAUUUCUGGAUGUGAGAAAAAUGUAUGGGUUAAGGAAGAGUAUGGUAAGUACCAGUUGGAUGAGCUACUAGAAUCAAGAAAAUUCUACAAGUAUUUGUAAGUAUUUGUAAGUUUAUAAGUGUUGACAGAAGAUUCCACCACUAAAAUGCCUAGCAUGCCUCAGGCCUGAUCGUACCACAUAUUCUAACAAACACAGAUUAGGAGACAUCCUGAUGCCUUCCAAUUUCAUAAUAAAACUCAAGGAGAAAAAUGAACACUCAAAAAAAUGGAAUCUCUUUGAGGUUGGUUUUGCUGAAAUGCGCCUCCAAUAUUCUUAUUAGGUAAUGGAUACUUACAUUGCUCAUUACAUUCUAUUCUUAAAAGGAAUUGGGUACUCAUGGUGUUUUAAAAUGACUCUCGUAAGUUGUGACACCUUCCAUAAUCUGGCUAUGACCCAUCUGUUGGCUUUAUUUCCACAUCCACAAGUACCCUUCCUGCUGUAGUCCAACAGUUCUUGCACUUGUCCUGUGGUUUCCCACCACUCAGUCUUGCCUCCUACUGAAGCCCCUGCCUCUUCCAUUCCCUGAAUCUCAGUUUCCUCCUGUCCACAUCUUUCCCAUCUUUCAAGGCCCAACUUUUAAAUAGAAGCUGGAAAGGGUUGUCCUCCUCUCUGAACUCCCACUUUGUGGUACCCACGACCUUCUGGCUUGCAUUACAGGUAAGUGUGCACCUGGUCUGAUCCUUCUGGUCGACUGUAAGCGCUUUGAAAGCAGCGCCUCCCCCCUUCAGCACCGAGGACAGCGUCCAGCAAUCACAGCAAGCCCUACUGUUUAUUGAAUUGUAUUAUUUUUAUUUUAUUUAUUUUUAUUUUUGAGACAGGGUUUUGCUCUGUUGCCCAGGUUGGAGUGCAGUGGCGUGAUCUCAGCUCACUGCAACCUCUGCCUCCCAGGUUCAAGUGAUCUCCUGCCUCAGCCUCCUGAGUAGCUGGGAUUACAGGUGCACACUACCAUGCCUGACUAAUUUUUUGUAUUUUUAGUACAGAUGGGGUUUUGCCAUGAUGGCCAGGCUGGUCUCAGACUCCUGACAUCAAGUGAUCCACCCACCUUGGCCUCCCAAAAUGCUGGGAUUACAGGCGUGAGCCACCACGCCUGGCCUUGAAUUGUAUUAUUUUUAAAGCUCAAUUGUGAGGUCUUCAGGAGAGAGACUGCUGCCAUCCCAAUGCUGGUAUGGCAUCCCACAGACUCCCUGAUGAGUCAGGCUAUAGAGCCACUCAGUAGAAAAACUGUUUUUCUGGGAACACCACCUCUGUAUUUUUGUUAAAUGCUUCCAAAUGCUUUGUGAGGAGCCUAUUAUACCUUCUCAGCAUUCUACCUGGAAGAGACUUUCUCAGUGUUUCUGAUCUGUGUCAUAAAAUGGAGCUUAUAUUUUUAACUUUUUUGGGUUUGUUUAUUUAAAGACAUGCUCAUUAUGUUCUUUUAGGCAGAUUUUCCUUAUGUCAAUUACUUCUAAAGCCCUGAUACAAAAGGUCUUUUUUCCUACUGCACAAUCUCUUUAUGGAACUGAACAAGGUCCUUGUGGAGAAGCAGGAAAUUGGACGAAGGCAAUGCUACCCCUCAAAUGUGCAAAAUAGCUUCUUUCUAAAAUAACACAAUUUAAAGCAAAACUUACUAAAACAAUCAUUUAUGAAUAGAGAGUCAAAGGCAGGAGGGUGGAGAAACCGAACACAGCCUAAAUUAUAGCACAUGCCUAAAAAUGUAGUUUAUUAUUGUUAAGCACACGCAAAGACAGAAAUUGGUUAAAUUAAUAUAAAAGAGAAAAACGAGGUAGGUCAGAGGAAAAUUGAUUUCACAAAAAAUCUUAGUGUCUGGAAUUCUAAGUUAUCAUGCUCAUUUCAAAAUUCUACUAAAUUAAGCAUAAUGGCAUGAAAGUAAUAUCAGCAUACUUGCCUACAUCUUCCAAAUAUAUUAUGAUAAACAUCUAAUUUUUUUCAAAAAAUAUUUUAGUCAUGUUUAGUGAGCCUGAAAUAUUGUGCAUGCAUGCAGAGUUAGAGCUAAAAUAAGUGUUUUAGUUGGUUUAGUAAAAUAGAUCAAGUGUUCGUGGCAACUGACCACUAGGGGCCAUUUGUAUGGAAGAAGGUGGUUGGUGACCAGUGGGCAUCUGGUUAUAAGCAAAAGUGUCUUUUUCACACAAGACCUGACAAUCAGAAGCCAGCCAUGAAGCACUCCGGGCUUCACCAGCAGUUAACAACCCCCCGUGACAAAGAGCUGACAAGGGAAGUGGCUUAGGUCCCUGCUCUAGCCAGUUAAUGAGGCUGUAUUCCCACUAGCCCUAAACUCCUUCUCACCCAGCAGCAGCCUGAACAAAAGCAGAAAGGGGAGCAGCCACAAGAAAGCCUUUCCUUUGACUGAGGAGAGAUUUCACACCCAAAGCCAUCAUUUAGGAAGGAUACUCUCCAGCACCACUAAGCUGUGCUGUGCCCUGCCUAGGAGCCUCCAAGCUGCCACAGAUCCCCCUACCCCUGGGGCUCAGGAGAGGGGGAGAUUUGUACAUCUCUAGCCAUAGCACCAGCAUGGCCAAGGGCAGGUUAGGUCCAGCUGGUGUCCUCCAGAGCAGGGCCUGGUGUGGCUGCCAGCCUCUGAUGUGUUUGCAAAGGGAAGGAAGUCACAGAGUGCCACCUCAGUGGCCUGACUGGUGCAUGGGAACAGGAAGGGCCCUCCUGAGCUGAGGACGUGGGGUUUCCAGUGUCCCCGGCCACCUCCCUCCAGCAGCCUCCUCAGUCCGGGCAGGGACCAGCAUGCAGAGCCCUCUUACCCGCAUGCUGUGGCGUUUGAAGACAUUGUGCCGGUGGAGAGGUGGGGUGUGCAGUGAGUUAACGGGAGAUGGAUACUCCAUAGGGCUGGUGAGCGUAGGAGAGCUGGCACACAGACCCUCAGGAACCUAUUCAGGAAAAGCAAAGAAGCACAAGGCACGGGACAAAGCGAGAAGGUAGACAAUUAGCUGCUACAAACACGAGCACAAAGAAACUAUGCAUGAGCACCACAGGGAAUGGGGCUUGCUCUCCAGGAGUUAAUAAAGAACAAAACGUGGGCCUUCCAUUGCUCCGAGAGAGAUGGUGGAGCAGUGCAGCCUCUCAUUCAUCCAACAUUCCCCCAAGAUGCUCUGCACACAGUGGGGUCCAUGCUGGUUACGGACCCACUGAGACCAGGGCUCUUCCUUCAGGACUCUUCAAAAAAUAGUUGUUUCAGUUGCAUUACAGACUGACUGAUGUGGUUAACACACCAAUUUAUACAGAUAUGUAUGAAUUGUUUUUUAAAAAUUCAGAUAGGCUCUUGCUCUGUUGCCCAGGCUGGGAUGCAGUGGUAUGAUCACAGCUCACUGCAGCCUUAAACUCUUGGCCUCAAGUAAUCCUCUUGCCUCAGCCUCCCACAUAGCUGGGACUACGGAUGCAUGCCACCAUGCCUGCCUUGAAUUUUUUUUAAUUAAAAAAUAAGUAUAUCACAAUUUUAUUGUAUUACUAUUUGUUUUUAGAGAUGGGGUCUCACUAUAUUGCCCAGGCUGGUCUCAAACUCCUGAGCUCAAUGAAUCCUCCCAUCUCACCCUCCUUAGUAGCUGGGACUACAGGUGUGUUCCACCCUACCUAACUCCCUGUUUUAAAUAUUGCACAUGGGUAUAUCUCUUUUUUUUCAGAACGAUUUUUCCAUCUUCUGAAUCAGGCUUUCUCUUCACGUGAAGAGGAUUUAUCUAUUAGUCCUUAGAUGGUCUUGUUUUGGCACUCAGGCAUUUCCUUGAGAACAAAUAUAGGACCAUGGGACACCACCUUUCUAUAAAGGGCACCAACUAAAUGGACAUUAUUUCUGGUGGUUGAGGGGAUCAAUUUUUGAGCAGUGGCUCUGAGCUGGGGGAUGCAAGAGAAGAAAUAAGAGGAGACUGGACUCCCUCUCUCCUAGAGGCAAGAGAGACACAGAACAGAGACAUUCAGGGUCAGGGACGCACAGCCUGGGAAAGAGUCAUGGUUGGGGAUAAUGGAGCUGGGAGAAAGCUCAGGUAAAACCCUGCUGUCUCUUCAAUGGCCAUCUCCAUCACCCAAGUGGGUGACUGCUGCUCCUCUAAG